AUGCUAUACGUCUAUUUGUAAUUGUCUUGAAUGAGAGCUAUAUGAAAUAUUUGUGCUAGAACAUAGAUAAAUCUAGCUUCCUUUGUAUGUUUUAUACUGUAAAGAACUUAGAUUGUGUGCAUUUAAAUUAGAAUAUUGUUCUAGGAAGACACAGGGCUAUAGUCAGCUUGCACAUCUGCACAGUAGGAAUGGAAGGAACCAGCAUGUAAGUACUUAACAGGUAUUUGAUGUUG
Molecule: long non-coding RNA, 233 nt
Filed under: Bos taurus (domestic cattle)
Lineage: Eukaryota; Metazoa; Chordata; Mammalia; Artiodactyla; Bovidae
Description: long non-coding RNA NONBTAT011830
Source: RNAcentral